Molecule: ribosomal RNA, 496 nt
Filed under: uncultured bacterium
Lineage: Bacteria
Description: partial 16S ribosomal RNA
Rfam family: Bacterial small subunit ribosomal RNA
Source: RNAcentral
ACGAACGCUGGCGGCGUGCCUAAUCCAUGCAAGUAGAACGCUGAAGCUUGGUGCUUGCACCGAGCGGAUGAGUUGCGAACGGGUGAGUAACGCGUAGGUAACCUGCCUGGUAGCGGGGGAUAACUAUUGGAAACGAUAGCUAAUACCGCAUAAGAGUAGAUGUUGCAUGACAUUUGCUUAAAAGGUGCAAUUGCAUCACUACCAGAUGGACCUGCGUUGUAUUAGCUAGUUGGUGAGGUAACGGCUCACCAAGGCAACGAUACAUAGCCGACCUGAGAGGGUGAUCGGCCACACUGGGACUGAGACACGGCCCAGACUCCUACGGGAGGCAGCAGUAGGGAAUCUUCGGCAAUGGACGGAAGUCUGACCGAGCAACGCCGCGUGAGUGAAGAAGGGUUUCGGAUCGUAAAGCUCUGUUGUAAGAGAAGAACGAGUGUGAGAGUGGAAAGUUCACACUGUGACGGUAUCUUACCAGAAAGGGACGGCUAACUACGUG